Molecule: unclassified non-coding RNA, 2379 nt
Filed under: Citrus tristeza virus
Lineage: Riboviria; Orthornavirae; Kitrinoviricota; Alsuviricetes; Martellivirales; Closteroviridae
Rfam family: Citrus tristeza virus replication signal (bases 2107-2378)
Source: RNAcentral
AAUUUCUCAAAUUCACCCGUACCCUCCGGAAAUCACGUCCGGACGCUGCCCCAAUCGGUGUAAAUCCCGGCAAAUUGCCCACUACGCCCAUACAAACAAAUAUAAAUGUCGAAACUCGGAGCUCGCUUCAAGUCCUCGACUUUCGCUGUACGCAGGCAUUACAUCAUCUCGCGCAUCUGGCGCUUUAACACCGUUGGAGUCCUGCACUUCUUCGGUACUGAAACAACCACCAAGGUGGUUAAGGAAUUUUCGGCUCCUCAGCCGAUAGUCCCUCUACGGAAAUCCUGUUUUCCGUUUUCUGUUCGCGCUGCUGUUCGCGCGAUUAAAGCUGCCGGACGUCCCAUUGACCGUCCGCGCUCUGGAUGCCUCUGUGGCCUCCCUGUUAUCGACACAUCUGGUGUCGUACGUGCCUCUGUCGCGGGCAUUUGGAGGUAUUCUCUGUGUAAACCUCCCCUUACUGCCGCCGCCAAGAAGUCCAUUGCCAAGGCGAAGAAAGAUUCUGCUUUCUUUCUUAGCCGGGCUUCUUCACUCUUCUCACGGGAAGUCCCCUGCGGCACGCGUCAUAGACUUCGUAGGCGCGUUAUGAAACGAGUAGACCCUACCAUGCACGAGAGUCCCCAAGACGAGAUCAAACUUAAGGGACGCCGACAUGGCAAGAAUUCUGACCUCCCGUAUAUGGGGGAAGCGGCGUUGGAUGAUAUCCUUCGCUGGAUUGAGGGGGUAAAUCCCCCGCCGUCGAUGGUCGCCAUUCCGGUGCCCAUCUCUUUCGGCGCCAUGCCCACAACGGCAUCGUGCUCUCCUGUUGACGCGGCUGUUUUGCGGUGUCGUUUAGACUACCACGCCGCUGAGACUUCCUUUCGUGACGAAAGGAAGCACGUGAGAUACGUCUAUAAUGACGUGUCUUCUGCUGCCAACCGUCCUCGUACGGUUUCUGCCAAGUGCGGGCGUGUUUUCAGCGGUUCUGCGCUGGGUGUUGAGGUCCCGAGCACUAGGGAUCGCCAUACCGCUUUCGUGAGAUCUACUCACGCUAGCGUUUUCUUCUCCCGGAGUUCGCCGGUUCGCAUGUUCCGUCCUGGGCGGAAUAAUUUCUUCACUAGCGUCGUUAGUGGGCGGCGCGUUAGUUACUUUAGACCCGGACCUAAUGGUACGGUGUCUGUUUUAAUGUCGGACGGUGUCAACACGGCGCGUCUCGACGUUGUGCCUCCUGGCUACUAUGCGUACGCUAAAGCGUUAGGCGCCAAAGUGCCGUGUUUGUGGGAGUCGUCCGAUUUGGACGAUGCUAAGAUACGUGACGGCCAGUGCUACGUUCGUCACGUAUACGACGUGGCCCUUUACUUCGGAAGGCGCGUCGAUCUUUCUGUGCGCCGAACUUUGGGUUUGUUUCCCACAGUGGGUGCACUAAAAGCUUAUCUUCUUCGCGAGUACGGUCGCAACUCUUUGAAGGUUCCGAUGCGCGGGACUUACACUUUUGGCAGUGUGUUUCAUUGCCUGUCGACUAAAUCUUUUGUCGACUUGAGAUCUUCUGACGAAAGCAACACAGCUAGCACUGAAGUCAAAACCGUAAGUUUGGAAGCGGAUCGCUUGGAAUUUUUACGGAAAAUGAAUCCCUUUAUUAUCGACGCUUUGAUACGGAAAACUAGUUAUCAGGGUGCCUUUCGCGCGAGAAUAAUAGGAGUGUGCGUGGAUUGUGGUAGAAAACACGAUAAGGCAUCGAGGACUGAACGUAAGUGUAAAGUCAACAACACACAAUCUCAGAACGAGGUGGCGCAUAUGUUAAUGCACGAUCCCGUGAAAUAUUUAAAUAAAAGAAAAGCUAGAGCUUUUUCUAACGCAGAGAUGUUUGCGAUCGAUUUGGUUAUGCAUACCAAAGAAAGGCAAUUAGCGGUUGAUUUGGCCGCUGAAAGGGAGAAGACGAGAUUGGCUCGUAGACACCCGAUGCGUUCUCCGGAGGAAACUCCGGAACAUUAUAAGUUCGGUAUGACUGCUAAGGCAAUGUUACCGAACAUCAACGCUAUAGACGUUGGUGAUAACGAAGACACUUCGUCGGAAUACCCAGUGAGUCUGAGUGUUUCAGGCGGAGUUCUCCGUGAACACCACUUCAUCUGAUUGAAGUGGACGGAAUAAGUUCCUUGCGGAACUUUAUGUCGGGUUGGUAAAAACCCUUAUGAUGGUGAUGUAUCACUAGACAAUAACCGGAUGGGUAAAGUCUUUAAAAUGAUCGAGGGGAAAAUUAACCAUAUCCUCUCGUUGGUCUAAGCUCCCACAGAGUGUAGUGGUCUCAAGUGAGGCUUAACGUAUGCGUGAACCAAAGAAGUUCUCCUUAGAGUGUGUGUUGUUUACCCAACACACUGUCCCUAUGGGGGGCCAACAUAGGUCCAU